GUGCGAAAGCGUGGGGAGCAAACAGGAUUAGAUACCCUGGUAGUCCACGCCGUAAACGAUGUCUACUUGGAGGUUGUGCCCUUGAGGCGUGGCUUCCGGAGCUAACGCGUUAAGUAGACCGCCUGGGGAGUACGGCCGCAAGGUUAAAACUCAAAUGAAUUGACGGGGGCCCGCACAAGCGGUGGAGCAUGUGGUUUAAUUCGAUGCAACGCGAAGAACCUUACCUGGUCUUGACAUCCACAGAACUUUCCAGAGAUGGAUUGGUGCCUUCGGGAACUGUGAGACAGGUGCUGCAUGGCUGUCGUCAGCUCGUGUUGUGAAAUGUUGGGUUAAGUCCCGCAACGAGCGCAAC
Molecule: ribosomal RNA, 352 nt
Filed under: Salmonella enterica
Lineage: Bacteria; Pseudomonadati; Pseudomonadota; Gammaproteobacteria; Enterobacterales; Enterobacteriaceae
Description: bacterial SSU rRNA
Rfam family: Bacterial small subunit ribosomal RNA
Source: RNAcentral